CCUACGGGAUGCAGCAGUAGGGAAUCUUCCACAAUGGGCGAAAGCCUGAUGGAGCAACGCCGCGUGGGUGAAGAAGGUCUUCGGAUCGUAAAACCCUGUUGUUAGAGAAGAAAGUGCGUGAGAGUAACUGUUCACGUUUCGACGGUAUCUAACCAGAAAGCCACGGCUAACUACGUGCCAGCAGCCGCGGUAAUACGUAGGUGGCAAGCGUUAUCCGGCUUUAUUGGGCGUAAAGGGAACGCAGGCGGUCUUUUAAGUCUGAUGUGAAAGCCUUCGGCUUAACCGGAGUAGUGCAUUGGAAACUGGGAGACGUGAGUGCAGAAGAGGAGAGUGGAACUCCAUGUGUAGCGGUGAAAUGCGUAGAUAUAUGGAAGAACACCAGUGGCGAAAGCGGCUCUCUGGUCUGUAACUGACGCUGAGGUUCGAAAGCGUGGGUAGCAAACAGGAUUAGAUACCCCUUGUAGUC
Molecule: ribosomal RNA, 466 nt
Filed under: uncultured bacterium
Lineage: Bacteria
Description: partial 16S ribosomal RNA
Rfam family: Bacterial small subunit ribosomal RNA
Source: RNAcentral